GGAAGAGCAUCGUCCCCGGUGGGGCGUCCGGACUUCAAAUCCGGGUGAGGCAGGCAAGACUGUCUCGGGUGGGUUCGACUCCCAUUCUCUUCCGCCA
RNAcentral lists this transfer RNA (97 nucleotides) under Dyella japonica A8. RNAcentral describes it as "tRNA-SeC (TCA) (tRNA-SeC-TCA-1-1)". It matches the Rfam family "Selenocysteine transfer RNA". Lineage: Bacteria; Pseudomonadati; Pseudomonadota; Gammaproteobacteria; Lysobacterales; Rhodanobacteraceae. The record is from RNAcentral.